CCAAACUGUUGCCUCGGCGGGAUCUCUGCCCCGGGUGCGUCGCAGCCCCGGACCAAGGCGCCCGCCGGAGGACCAACCAAAACUCUUUUUGUAUACCCCCUCGCGGGUUUUUUAUAAUCUGAGCCUUCUCGGCGCCUCUCGUAGGCGUUUCGAAAAUGAAUCAAAACUUUCAACAACGGAUCUCUUGGUUCUGGCAUCGAUGAAGAACGCAGCGAAAUGCGAUAAGUAAUGUGAAUUGCAGAAUUCAGUGAAUCAUCGAAUCUUUGAACGCACAUUGCGCCCGCCAGUAUUCUGGCGGGCAUGCCUGUCCGAGCGUCAUUUCAACCCUCGAACCCCUCCGGGGGGUCGGCGUUGGGGAUCGGCCCUGCCUCUUGGCGGUGGCCGUCUCCGAAAUACAGUGGCGGUCUCGCCGCAGCCUCUCCUGCGCAGUAGUUUGCACACUCGCAUCGGGAGCGCGGCGCGUCCACAGCCGUUAAACACCCAACUUCUGAAAUGUUGACCUCGGAUCAGGUAGGAAUACCCGCUGAACUUAAGCAUAUCAAUAGCCGGAGGAA
This 554-nucleotide ribosomal RNA is filed under the name Trichoderma harzianum. Its description in RNAcentral is "eukaryotic LSU rRNA". The stretch from base 165 to 318 matches the Rfam family "5.8S ribosomal RNA". The record is from RNAcentral. Lineage: Eukaryota; Fungi; Ascomycota; Sordariomycetes; Hypocreales; Hypocreaceae.